This 501-nucleotide ribosomal RNA is filed under the name uncultured bacterium. RNAcentral describes it as "partial 16S ribosomal RNA". It matches the Rfam family "Bacterial small subunit ribosomal RNA", at positions 30 to 523 of the family's 1533-position model. The record is from RNAcentral.
AUUGAACGCUGGCGGCAGGCUUAACACAUGCAAGUCGAGCGGAGAUGAGGUGCUUGCACCUUAUCUUAGCGGCGGACGGGUGAGUAAUGCUUAGGAAUCUGCCUAUUAGUGGGGGACAACAUUCCGAAAGGAAUGCUAAUACCGCAUACGUCCUACGGGAGAAAGCAGGGGAUCUUCGGACCUUGCGCUAAUAGAUGAGCCUAAGUCGGAUUAGCUAGCUGGUGGGGUAAAGGCCUACCAAGGCGACGAUCUGUAGCGGGUCUGAGAGGAUGCUGCGCCACACGGGGACGGAGGAACGGCCCAGAAUCCUGCGGGAGGCAGCAGUGGGGAAUAUUGGACAAUGGGGGAAACCCUGAUCCAGCCAUGCCGCGUGUGUGAAGAAGGCCUUAUGGUUGUAAAGCACUUUAAGCGAGGAGGAGGCUACUGAGACUAAUACUCUUGGAUAGUGGACGUUACUCGCAGAAUAAGCACCGGCUAACUCUGUGCCAGCCGCCGCGGUAA